RNAcentral lists this long non-coding RNA (528 nucleotides) under Eucalyptus grandis. Its description in RNAcentral is "long non-coding RNA (EGRA_LNC000728)". Lineage: Eukaryota; Viridiplantae; Streptophyta; Magnoliopsida; Myrtales; Myrtaceae. The record is from RNAcentral.
CUAUCUGUUUGCAGUCUACAUAAGCUGCCAAUGGAAGGAUACAUGAAAAACAUUGCUAUAACGUGAUCAACAACAAUUACACAAAGGCAAAUCCAGAGUUUGCAAAAUCAAUCAGAUAGAUAUCUAAUGUGAAGCAAAUCAUUCUAAAAAAAUAGAGCUUCGAGAAGAGUAUUACUCUAUUUGCUCACGCUGGCCGUUCAAGGAUGAAGAAUCUUACUAUGCCUUCUAUUGACAUUUGGGUCUACAUUUUGAUCUUGGCUGAACCAUCAUGUGAGCUUCUAUGACCAACUCCUCCACUCCUUCAAUAGUGCAAGACCAGCAAUUUAGGAAAGUACAGAAUCCUAUCAUGGAAAACCUUUUUGUCAAAAGAAGAUAGUGAUGAAAAGGAGGUCAUGAAUAUCAGAGGAAGAAUGAUUGUUCACUGCUCAUUUACCUCUGUUGAAGAAACAUGACUAAUCUCACUGUUGUAAUAUGGGUAUAAGAUUCCUCACAUCAUUAACACUGCAUGAUAAUAUUUCCAUAGAGAAC